Molecule: ribosomal RNA, 932 nt
Filed under: Skeletonema menzelii
Lineage: Eukaryota; Bacillariophyta; Thalassiosirophyceae; Thalassiosirales; Thalassiosiraceae
Description: partial Bacterial large subunit ribosomal RNA
Rfam family: Bacterial large subunit ribosomal RNA
Source: RNAcentral
UGUGAACCCCGUAGCUGAAAUGUCGUGAUGGUCGGGAAUGUAUCCCAAGUAGCACGGGGCCCGAGAAAUCCCGUGUGAAUCUGUCAGGACCACCUGAUAAGCCUAAAUACUCCCAGAUGACCGAUAGCGGACAAGUACCGUGAGGGAAAGGUGAAAAGUACCCCGGGAGGGGAGUGAAAUAGUACCUGAAACCGUGUGCUUACAAGCCGUUGGAGCCUUUUGGGGUGACAGCGUGCCUUUUGAAGAAUGAGCCUGCGAGUUAGUGUUAUGUCGCGAGGUUAACCCGUGUGGGGUAUCCGUAGCGAAAGCGAGUCUGAAUAGGGCGUUUGAGUGGCAUGACCUAGACCCGAAGCGGAGUGAUCUAUCCAUGGCCAGGUUGAAGCGACGGUAAGACGUCGUGGAGGACCGAACCCACUUCAGUUGAAAAUGGAGGGGAUGAGCUGUGGGUAGGGGUGAAAGGCCAAUCAAACUCCGUGAUAGCUGGUUCUCCCCGAAAUGCAUUUAGGUGCAGCGUUACGUGUUUCUUGCCGGAGGUAGAGCUACUGGAUGGCCGAUGGGCCUUCACGGGUUACUGACGUCAGCUAAACUCCGAAUGCCGGUAAGUGAGAGCGUAGCAGUGAGACAGUGGGGGAUAAGCUUCAUUGUCGAGAGGGAAACAGCCCAGACCACCAACUAAGGCCCCUAAGCGUGUGCUAAGUGGGAAAGGAUGUGGAGUUGCUUAGACAACCAGGAGGUUGGCUUAGAAGCAGCCACCCUUGAAAGAGUGCGUAAUAGCUCACUGGUCAAGUGAUUCCGCGCCGAUAAUGUAGCGGGGCUUAAGUUAUCCGCCGAAGCUGUGGCAACCUGUGUGGUUGGGUAGGGGAGCGUCGUGUCAGUGGUGAAGCUGCCGGGUGACUGUGUGGUGGAGUUGAUGCGAGUGAGAAUGCAGGCAU